Molecule: ribosomal RNA, 266 nt
Filed under: uncultured Saccharomycetes
Lineage: Eukaryota; Fungi; Ascomycota; Saccharomycetes
Description: partial 18S ribosomal RNA
Rfam family: Eukaryotic small subunit ribosomal RNA
Source: RNAcentral
UUUCUAGGACCAUCGUAAGAUUAAUAGGGACGGUCGGGGGCAUCAGGUAUUCAAUUGUCAGAGGUGAAAUUCUUGGAUUUAUUGAAGACUAACUACUGCGAAAGCAUUUGCCAAGGACGUUUUCAUUAAUCAAGAACGAAAGUUAGGGGAUCGAAGAUGAUCAGAUACCGUCGUAGUCUUAACCAUAAACUAUGCCGACUAGGGAUCGGGUGGUGUUUUUUUAAUGACCCACUCGGCNNCUUACGAGAAAUCAAAGUCUUUGGUUC